This 202-nucleotide long non-coding RNA is filed under the name Mytilus galloprovincialis (Mediterranean mussel). The record is from RNAcentral. Lineage: Eukaryota; Metazoa; Mollusca; Bivalvia; Mytilida; Mytilidae.
GGCCGUUAGUUUUCUAGUUUCACUUUGAAUUGUUUUAUUUGUCACUUCGGGGCCUUUGACAGUUGACUAUACUGUAUUGACUUUGCUCAUUGUUAAAGGCCGUGCAGUGACCUAUAGUGGUUGAUUUCUAUGUCAUGUUGGGCUCUUGUGGAGAGUUGUCUCAUGUGCAAUCAUACCACAUCUUCUAUUUUUUUUCUCUUUU